UCACCAUUUCUCAAAUACAAGGUUAGCAAGUAGCAAAUCAGGGCUAUUCAUACAACAACGUUUGGUGAAACCUUUGACAUGAUACUCGAUGAUGCCAAGGGUACAAAGUUCACCCUUAUGUGAAAAAGGAUAUGAUGAACCGGUUCCUCAAAUUCAAGAGGAGAAGUCUUGCAAUUUAAAUUUGAAUUCAAUAUUCGAAUGUACCAUCUGAUUUUACAUGAAAUGUUGAGAUUAGAGGUUAGAAGCAACUAUGACCUCCUUAUCCUUCUAUGUGUGAGUUGGCAGAUAGAUAUGAACUUGAAAGACAUGUAGGCUGAGAGAACCAGCCAAAGUAAUAGUAUUCCUUGACAAGCAAAUGACAUCAUCUCUUU
Molecule: non-coding RNA, 371 nt
Organism: Camelina sativa (false flax)
Lineage: Eukaryota; Viridiplantae; Streptophyta; Magnoliopsida; Brassicales; Brassicaceae
Source: RefSeq, a predicted model, not a curated record